CGGUGGACAUGUGGUUUAUUCGAUGCAACGCGAAGAACCUUACCUACUCUUGACAUCCAGAGAAUUUGCUAGAGAUAGCUUAGUGCCUUCGGGAACUCUGAGACAGGUGCUGCAUGGCUGUCGUCAGCUCGUGUUGUGAAAUGUUGGGUUAAGUCCCGCAACGAGCGCAACCCUUAUCCUUUGUUGCCAGCACGUAAUGGUGGGAACUCAAAGGAGACUGCCGGUGAUAAACCGGAGGAAGGUGGGGAUGACGUCAAGUCAUCAUGGCCCUUACGAGUAGGGCUACACACGUGCUACAAUGGCAUAUACAAAGAGAAGCGAACUCGCGAGAGCAAGCGGACCUCAUAAAGUAUGUCGUAGUCCGGAUUGGAGUCUGCAACUCGACUCCAUGAAGUCGGAAUCGCUAGUAAUCGUAGAUCAGAAUGCUACGGUGAAUACGUUCCCGGGCCUUGUACACACCGCCCGUA
This 467-nucleotide ribosomal RNA is filed under the name Hafnia alvei. RNAcentral describes it as "bacterial SSU rRNA". It matches the Rfam family "Bacterial small subunit ribosomal RNA", at positions 930 to 1398 of the family's 1533-position model. The record is from RNAcentral. Lineage: Bacteria; Pseudomonadati; Pseudomonadota; Gammaproteobacteria; Enterobacterales; Hafniaceae.